RNAcentral lists this ribosomal RNA (445 nucleotides) under uncultured bacterium. RNAcentral's name for it is "partial 16S ribosomal RNA". It matches the Rfam family "Bacterial small subunit ribosomal RNA", at positions 354 to 796 of the family's 1533-position model. The record is from RNAcentral.
GUGAGGAAUAUUGGACAAUGGGCGCAAGCCUGAUCCAGCCAUGCCGCGUGCAGGAAGACGCAUCUAUGGUGUGUAAACUGCUUUUGUACGGGAAGAAACACUCCCUCGUGAGGGAGCUUGACGGUACCGUAAGAAUAAGGAUCGGCUAACUCCGUGCCAGCAGCCGCGGUAAUACGGAGGAUCCAAGCGUUAUCCGGAAUCAUUGGGUUUAAAGGGUCCGUAGGCGGUUUAAUAAGUCAGUGGUGAAAGCCCAUCGCUCAACGAUGGAACGGCCAUUGAUACUGUUAGACUUGAAUUACAAGGAAGUAACUAGAAUAUGUAGUGUAGCGGUGAAAUGCUUAGAUAUUACAUGGAAUACCAAUUGCGAAGGCAGGUUACUACUUGUGGAUUGACGCUGAUGGACGAAAGCGUGGGGAGCGAACAGGAUUAGAAACCCGUGUAGUCC